Molecule: unclassified non-coding RNA, 338 nt
Filed under: Dermacentor andersoni
Lineage: Eukaryota; Metazoa; Arthropoda; Arachnida; Ixodida; Ixodidae
Description: uncharacterized LOC126545415
Source: RNAcentral
GGCCGUCCGGGUCUUGUUUACGGCUACCACUGGCGCGGCGUGCGAUCGCGAAGCCCGCUGCCGCGCCUUUCGCCGCGAUGUCUUGCCGCUGUUUUCGCCCGACGCGUGCACGUACGCGACGGAGCGGACCAGCAGCAGUCGUGACUUGCAACCGGCGGCCGCCGCCACCCCUGGCGGGCCCAGCUGAGGCCAGGCAGUGUCUGGCUAUGCCUCCUCCGGACCACGUCGCAGUUCGAUGCCGACCAGAUCGACAGCAGCUGCAACGCUGACCAGCCGGUGCAAGUAGACUGAACGAGCGAGCCACGUGUUCACGCUUCGAAGGAUUUACUGCACGCGAU